UUGACCUCGGAUCAGGUAGGAGUACCCGCUGAACUUAAGCAUAUCAAUAAGCGGAGGAAAAGAAACCAACAGGGAUUGCCUCAGUAACGGCGAGUGAAGCGGCAAAAGCUCAAAUUUGAAAUCUGGCUCCAUGCGGAGCCCGAGUUGUAAUUUGGAGAGGACACUUCGGGUGCGGCCACGGCAUAAGUUCCUUGGAACAGGACGUCAUAGAGGGUGAGAAUCCCGUCUUUGGCUGCUGGACCGCGCCCAUGCGAAGUUCCUUCGACGAGUCGAGUUGUUUGGGAAUGCAGCUC
This 293-nucleotide ribosomal RNA is filed under the name Coccidioides posadasii. Its description in RNAcentral is "partial 28S ribosomal RNA". It matches the Rfam family "Eukaryotic large subunit ribosomal RNA", at positions 1 to 288 of the family's 3401-position model. Lineage: Eukaryota; Fungi; Ascomycota; Eurotiomycetes; Onygenales; Onygenaceae. The record is from RNAcentral.